CUCUUAACAACUUUACACAUUUCCAAGGUAGAUAAUUACUGAUCAGAUCAAGAAUUUCAUUGAAUUUUUCUUGUUCUUCAAAUUAAAAACACUGUGUCUUUUGAACAUCUCAAUUUAGAAAUCCAUACAAAUCUAAAAGGAAAAAGUAAGCUGAGAAAUUAGAUUAAGAAAAGUAUUGCCUGGCCCCGUUCUGUCUGCCUCUUCCAAAACUUUGAGUCGGGAAGCUAUCAUCUUCUUGAGAGGCUCCUAAAAUAGUAAGCUUCGUCUUGAGAUAGCUAGAAAAUGGGAACUAAUUGUGACCAGAAAUAGGCAAAAGCCCAAUGAUUUCUUCCUCCAUUUGCUGCAGCAUUCACAAGUUGAAGAAAAGAAAUGAAUAGCACCAUAUUCAUUUGUUUUCUUGUACUGUUUCUCUCAAUAUUGGAUUCUAAAACAUAAUCCACCAAAUCCAAAUAUAUACUCGUAUAUAUAGAUAGAGUUAUAUGUGUUUAUGCAUUAUUGCAUGUUACCCAUUGAAUAUGUGCUUCUCUCUCUCUGCACCACACCGCAUGGUGGAGGGGCGUUGGUGAGUGGUAGGAGGUUUAAAGAGGGGC
RNAcentral lists this long non-coding RNA (590 nucleotides) under Olea europaea subsp. europaea. Lineage: Eukaryota; Viridiplantae; Streptophyta; Magnoliopsida; Lamiales; Oleaceae. The record is from RNAcentral.